RNAcentral lists this transfer RNA (77 nucleotides) under Clostridioides difficile. RNAcentral describes it as "tRNA-Lys(ttt)". It matches the Rfam family "tRNA". Rfam says of the family: Transfer RNA (tRNA) molecules are approximately 80 nucleotides in length. Their secondary structure includes four short double-helical elements and three loops (D, anti-codon, and T loops). Further hydrogen bonds mediate the characteristic L-shaped molecular structure. tRNAs have two regions of fundamental functional importance: the anti-codon, which is responsible for specific mRNA codon recognition, and the 3' end, to which the tRNAs corresponding amino acid is attached (by aminoacyl-tRNA synthetases). tRNAs cope with the degeneracy of the genetic code in two manners: having more than one tRNA (with a specific anti-codon) for a particular amino acid; and 'wobble' base-pairing, i.e. permitting non-standard base-pairing at the 3rd anti-codon position. The record is from RNAcentral. Lineage: Bacteria; Bacillati; Bacillota; Clostridia; Peptostreptococcales; Peptostreptococcaceae.
UGGUCUAUUAGCUCAGUCGGUAGAGCACCUGACUUUUAAUCAGGGUGUCACAGGUUCGAGCCCUGUUGGUCCCACCA